This 82-nucleotide transfer RNA is filed under the name Albula glossodonta (roundjaw bonefish). It matches the Rfam family "tRNA". From Rfam's summary of the family: Transfer RNA (tRNA) molecules are approximately 80 nucleotides in length. Their secondary structure includes four short double-helical elements and three loops (D, anti-codon, and T loops). Further hydrogen bonds mediate the characteristic L-shaped molecular structure. tRNAs have two regions of fundamental functional importance: the anti-codon, which is responsible for specific mRNA codon recognition, and the 3' end, to which the tRNAs corresponding amino acid is attached (by aminoacyl-tRNA synthetases). tRNAs cope with the degeneracy of the genetic code in two manners: having more than one tRNA (with a specific anti-codon) for a particular amino acid; and 'wobble' base-pairing, i.e. permitting non-standard base-pairing at the 3rd anti-codon position. Lineage: Eukaryota; Metazoa; Chordata; Actinopteri; Albuliformes; Albulidae. The record is from Rfam by way of RNAcentral.
GGUAGCGUGGCCGAGCGGUCUAAGGCGCUGGAUUUAGGCUCCAGUCUCUUCGGAGGCGAGGGUUCGAAUCCCUCCCCUGCCA